AUUGAACGCUGGCGGCAUGCCUUACACAUGCAAGUCGAACGGCAGCACGGGUGCUUGCACCUGGUGGCGAGUGGCGCACGGGUGAGUAAUACAUCGGAACAUGUCCUGUAGUGGGGGAUAGCCCGGCGAAAGCCGGAUUAAUACCGCAUACGAUCUACGGAUGAAAGCGGGGGACCUUCGGGCCUCGCGCUAUAGGGUUGGCCGAUGGCUGAUUAGCUAGUUGGUGGGGUAAAGGCCUACCAAGGCGACGAUCAGUAGCUGGUCUGAGAGGACGACCAGCCACACUGGGACUGAGACACGGCCCAGACUCCUACGGGAGGCAGCAGUGGGGAAUUUUGGGCAAUGGGCGAAAGCCUGACCCAGCAAUGCCGCGUGUGUGAAGAAGGCCUUCGGGUUGUAAAGCACUUUUGUCCGGAAAGAAAUCCUUGGCCCUAAUACGGUCGGGGGAUGACGGUACCGGAAGAAUAAGCACCGGCUAACUACGUG
This 486-nucleotide ribosomal RNA is filed under the name uncultured bacterium. Its description in RNAcentral is "partial 16S ribosomal RNA". It matches the Rfam family "Bacterial small subunit ribosomal RNA", at positions 30 to 507 of the family's 1533-position model. The record is from RNAcentral.